UACACAACACACACUCAGGGAACAUUACAUAGCAGGUACACAACACACACACAAAAGCCUAACAACACACCAGCUAUGAUGGGCUACAAAAGGCACACAAACUCUCUCUUUCUCUCUCUGUGUGUGUCUGUGUGUCUGUGUGUCUGUGUGUCUGUGUGUCUGUGUGUCUGUGUGGAUGUAGGAGGAAGGGUGGCUACACGGCUACACGCUCCGAGCUUCAAAUGGACCAAAUCAAAGCAGGGAGAGACAGGUCUGGAAACAUGAAGAUAAGAAGAGAGGGGGCGGUAGUUCUUUCACUGCAUCUUACAGAGAGAGAGGAGGGGACAGACAGGUGUCGGGACACCACAUGACUUUGAGAAGGUUGUUGUAGAAAUGAAAACAAUAUUUGCUGUUUGGUCAUUUGAUAUGUCUUUGUUUACUGCCAAUAAUACUGUCCUCCUCUCUCUCCCUCUGCCUCUCUCCCUCUUUCUAAUAGUGUCUGUAUCUGGUUACCAUAGCAAUCUGUCAAUUACAGAGAUUCCAGGUAAUUCAGCCCUAAUACUGUCUGUUCAGGAGCGGCAGGGGAGAAGAGGAACUGGGAAAAUGUGAGGAGGGUAGAGGAGAGGGGGUCUCCAAUACCGCCAGUUAAAUCCAUUUAGCUCUGAUGAUGCCAUUUCUACCAUGCAGAGAGAGAGAAAAAGAGAGAUGGGGGGGGGGAGUGAGAUAGACUGCUAAAUGCAGCUAAACACCUCAUAAUGAAAUGUUCUUAACAGAAGUAAUAAGUCAAUAUAAAUCAUAGUCUGAGAUGUGUCAGGAAUCAUACUGACCUUUGUUUUUGUUUACAAGCAAACGUCACGUUCGAAUGAUGUGCGCAUGCUAGCAACAAAAAUCCCUGUAGCAGAUAGCUAUACACGGAUGUCGGGACAUUAGCAGAGUGAGUGAUGACCAUGAAAACACACCUGUCUGAUGGCUAUAGCUAUGUUCAACAAGUAUAUUAUUCUUCUGGCUUUAUCUAGCUCUCUUUGGGAUAUUUUACCUUGAUUCACGCUGGCUUGCUAGGUAAUCAAUCCUCCGAUGAUAUCUGCGAUGUUGUAGACGAUAACCAUCUGAUUACGUGUUUGCUAACUUGCAUGAGCUGCAUCUGAAGUCGGACGUGAUCGUAUUUACUUCCAUGUAAACUAAACAAACCGAUUUAUUGAUUCGGAACUGCGCAAGCAACUUUGCAUGACGCACCCGGAAAAUGGGUCUAUAGGCGUAGGCUAUAUGGUGCAUAUAUCAAUAGGGACAGGAGUUUUUCCUGACCACAAGGCAAGGUCAGCUUGUAACUAGAACCCUGAGUUGUUCCUGACCACAAUACAAGGUCAGCUUGUAACUAGAACCCUGAGUUGUUCCUGGGCAGGUCACAUGGUCAGCAAUACUUCAGGGCCCAAUAGACAUACAAUAUGUAAUUAAAUGAGUGCGGGGUGAAUGUAUGGGUAUGAAGGAGGAGAGAGGG
Coregonus clupeaformis (lake whitefish) is the source of this 1474-nucleotide long non-coding RNA. RefSeq lists it as uncharacterized. Lineage: Eukaryota; Metazoa; Chordata; Actinopteri; Salmoniformes; Salmonidae. The transcript is spliced from 2 exons. The record is from RefSeq and is a predicted model, not a curated record.